RNAcentral lists this RNase P RNA (396 nucleotides) under Rufibacter sp. DG15C. RNAcentral describes it as "Bacterial RNase P class A". It matches the Rfam family "Bacterial RNase P class A". From Rfam's summary of the family: Ribonuclease P (RNase P) is a ubiquitous endoribonuclease, found in archaea, bacteria and eukarya as well as chloroplasts and mitochondria. The record is from Rfam by way of RNAcentral. Lineage: Bacteria; Pseudomonadati; Bacteroidota; Cytophagia; Cytophagales; Hymenobacteraceae.
UCGGCAGGCCGGCUUAUCGCUGCGUCUUUUACUAGACGGAGAGGAAAGUCCGGGCAACGCAGAGCAUCCUGCUUCCUAACGGGAAGGCACUUGGCGGGAGACGGCCAGGUGACAGCCAGUGCCACAGAAAAUAACCGCCGGCUUCGGCCGGUAAGGGCGAAAAGGUGCGGUAAGAGCGCACCAGCGGCUAGGUGACUAGUCCGGCUGGGUAAACCUCAGGAGUUGAAAGACCAAAUAGGCUGGCAGCGUCUCACCCUAGGGUGGGACUAAGGGCGGCUCGUCCGAUGUCAGUGGGUAGGUUGAUGGAGCCUUUCCGUGAGGACUGGCCUAGAUAAAUGAUAAGCCAUUUGCCCGUAGGGCGAAGGACAAAACCCGGCUUACAGGUCUGCUGAUUUU